AACGAACGCUGGCGGCAUGCCUAACACAUGCAAGUCGAACGAGACCUUCGGGUCUAGUGGCGCACGGGUGCGUAACGCGGGGGAACCUGCCCUUAGGUUCGGAAUAACUCCCCGAAAGGGGUGCUAAUACCGGAGAAUGUCUUCGGACCAAAGAUUUAUCGCCUUUGGAUGGGCCCGCGUUGGAUUAGCUAGUUGGUAGGGUAAAAGCCUACCAAGGCGACGAUCCAUAGCUGGUCUGAGAGGAUGAUCAGCCACACUGGGACUGAGACACGGCCCAGACUCCUACGGGAAGCAGCAGUGGGGAAUAUUGGACAAUGGGCGAAAGCCUGAUCCAGCAAUGCCGCGUGAGUGAUGAAGGCCUUAGGGUUGUAAAGCUCUUUUACCCGGGAUGAUAAUGACAGUACCGGGAGAAUAAGCUCCGGCUAACUCCGUG
This 433-nucleotide ribosomal RNA is filed under the name uncultured bacterium. Its description in RNAcentral is "partial 16S ribosomal RNA". It matches the Rfam family "Bacterial small subunit ribosomal RNA", at positions 29 to 507 of the family's 1533-position model. The record is from RNAcentral.